Molecule: ribosomal RNA, 761 nt
Filed under: Prevotella melaninogenica
Lineage: Bacteria; Pseudomonadati; Bacteroidota; Bacteroidia; Bacteroidales; Prevotellaceae
Description: bacterial SSU rRNA
Rfam family: Bacterial small subunit ribosomal RNA
Source: RNAcentral
GAUGAACGCUAGCUACAGGCUUAACACAUGCAAGUCGAGGGGAAACGGCAUUUAGUGCUUGCACCGAAUGGACGUCGACCGGCGCACGGGUGAGUAACGCGUAUCCAACCUUCCCAUAACUAAGGGAUAACCUGCCGAAAGGCAGACUAAUACCUUAUGCAAUCCUUUGAUGGCAUCAGAUAAGGAUAAAAGAUUUAUCGGUUAUGGAUGGGGAUGCGUCUGAUUAGCUUGUUGGCGGGGUAACGGCCCACCAAGGCAACGAUCAGUAGGGGUUCUGAGAGGAAGGUCCCCCACAUUGGAACUGAGACACGGUCCAAACUCCUACGGGAGGCAGCAGUGAGGAAUAUUGGUCAAUGGACGGAAGUCUGAACCAGCCAAGUAGCGUGCAGGAUGACGGCCCUAUGGGUUGUAAACUGCUUUUGUAUGGGGAUAAAGUCAAUCACGUGUGAUUGUUUGCAGGUACCAUACGAAUAAGGACCGGCUAAUUCCGUGCCAGCAGCCGCGGUAAUACGGAAGGUUCGGGCGUUAUCCGGAUUUAUUGGGUUUAAAGGGAGCGUAGGCCGGAGAUUAAGUGUGUUGUGAAAUGUAGACGCUCAACGUCUGACUUGCAGCGCAUACUGGUUUCCUUGAGUACGCACAACGUUGGCGGAAUUCGUCGUGUAGCGGUGAAAUGCUUAGAUAUGACGAAGAACUCCGAUUGCGAAGGCAGCUGACGGGAGCGCAACUGACGCUGAAGCUCGAAGGUGCGGGUAUCGAACAGG